This 490-nucleotide ribosomal RNA is filed under the name uncultured bacterium. Its description in RNAcentral is "partial 16S ribosomal RNA". It matches the Rfam family "Bacterial small subunit ribosomal RNA", at positions 30 to 507 of the family's 1533-position model. The record is from RNAcentral.
AUUGAACGCUGGCGGCAGGCCUAACACAUGCAAGUCGAACGGUAACAGGAAGAAGCUUGCUUCUUUGCUGACGAGUGGCGGACGGGGGAGUAAUGUCUGGGAAACUGCCUGAUGGAGGGGGAUAACUACUGGAAACGGUAGCUAAUACCGCAUAACGUCGCAAGACCAAAGAGCGGGACCUUCGGGCCUCUUGCCAUCGGAUGUGCCCAGAUGGGAUUAGCUAGUAGGUGGGGUAACGGCUCACCUAGGCGACGAUCCCUAGCUGGUCUGAGAGGAUGACCAGCCACACUGGAACUGAGACACGGUCCAGACUCCUACGGGAGGCAGCAGUGGGGAAUAUUGCACAAUGGGCGCAAGCCUGAUGCAGCCAUGCCGCGUGUAUGAAGAAGGCCUUCGGGUUGUAAAGUACUUUCAGCGGGGAGGAAGGGAGUAAAGUUAAUACCUUUGCUCAUUGACGUUACCCGAAGAAGAAGCACCGGCUAACUCCGUG